UACGGAGGGAGCGAGCGGUAAUCGGAAUUACGGGGCGUAAAGCGCGCGUCGGCGGUUUGUUGAGUCGGAUGUGAAAUCCCCGGGCUCAACCUGGGAACUGCACCCGAUACUGGCCGACUUGAGUGCGAGAGAGGGAGGUAGAAUUCCACGUGUAGCGGUGAAAUGCGUAGAUAUGUGGAGGAAUACCGGUGGCGAAGGCGGCCUCCUGGCUCGACACUGACGCUGAGGUGCGAAAGCGUCGGGAGCAAACAGG
This 253-nucleotide ribosomal RNA is filed under the name uncultured bacterium. Its description in RNAcentral is "partial 16S ribosomal RNA". It matches the Rfam family "Bacterial small subunit ribosomal RNA", at positions 524 to 776 of the family's 1533-position model. The record is from RNAcentral.